UGGAAGUCCACAAGUUAUUCAGGCAUCAGUUACUGGUUUUGAUUCCUGAAGGCAGCAGCAAGCAUGUAGAUAUGAAUGAAGAUUAUUAAGAUCAAUCGUGAAGAUUAUUAAGAUCAAUCGAGAUAGAGCCAUUAUUAUUAAUUAACUAAUAAUAAUAAUAACGUGUAUCCUGAGAGAUACCAAACAACUUGACUAAUGUUUCAAGAAGGCAAAUUAAUCAAAGUGAACUGCUGGAAGCAUACAACAAAUCAGCAAAGUAAAGCUAUAGAUGCACGGAGCAGACGCAGCUUUGCAAGUGUUGACGGUUCGUAAGUAUCAAUUUUAAUUAUUAAAU
This 334-nucleotide long non-coding RNA is filed under the name Sorghum bicolor (sorghum). RNAcentral's name for it is "long non-coding RNA (SBIC_LNC013252)". Lineage: Eukaryota; Viridiplantae; Streptophyta; Magnoliopsida; Poales; Poaceae. The record is from RNAcentral.